UACGUAGGCAGCGAGCGUUGUUCGGAAUUACUGGGCGUAAAGGGUGUGUAGGCGGUGCUCCCAGUCUGUUGUGAAAUCUCCCGGCUUAACUGGGAGGGUGCAGCGGAAACUAGAGUGCUAGAGGGUGGGAGAGGUAAGCGGAAUUCCUGGUGUAGCGGUGAAAUGCGUAGAUAUCAGGAGGAACACCUGUGGUGAAGACAGCUUACUGGGCCACUUCUGACGCUGAGACGCGAAAGCGUGGGUAGCAAACAGG
RNAcentral lists this ribosomal RNA (253 nucleotides) under uncultured bacterium. RNAcentral's name for it is "partial 16S ribosomal RNA". It matches the Rfam family "Bacterial small subunit ribosomal RNA", at positions 524 to 776 of the family's 1533-position model. The record is from RNAcentral.